Molecule: ribosomal RNA, 641 nt
Filed under: Ligilactobacillus agilis
Lineage: Bacteria; Bacillati; Bacillota; Bacilli; Lactobacillales; Lactobacillaceae
Description: bacterial SSU rRNA
Rfam family: Bacterial small subunit ribosomal RNA
Source: RNAcentral
GCUUUUUUCAAUCAUCGUAGCUUGCUACACCGAUUGAAAAUUGAGUGGCGAACGGGUGAGUAACACGUGGGUAACCUGCCCAAAAGAGGGGGAUAACACUUGGAAACAGGUGCUAAUACCGCAUAACCAUGAUGACCGCAUGGUCAUUAUGUAAAAGAUGGUUUCGGCUAUCACUUUUGGAUGGACCCGCGGCGUAUUAACUUGUUGGUGGGGUAACGGCCUACCAAGGUAAUGAUACGUAGCCGAACUGAGAGGUUGAUCGGCCACAUUGGGACUGAGACACGGCCCAAACUCCUACGGGAGGCAGCAGUAGGGAAUCUUCCACAAUGGGCGCAAGCCUGAUGGAGCAACGCCGCGUGAGUGAAGAAGGUCUUCGGAUCGUAAAACUCUGUUGUUAGAGAAGAACAUGCAAGAGAGUAACUGUUCUUGUAUUGACGGUAUCUAACCAGAAAGCCACGGCUAACUACGUGCCAGCAGCCGCGGUAAUACGUAGGUGGCAAGCGUUGUCCGGAUUUAUUGGGCGUAAAGGGAACGCAGGCGGUCCUUUAAGUCUGAUGUGAAAGCCUUCGGCUUAACCGAAGAAUUGCAUUGGAAACUGGAGGACUUGAGUGCAGAAGAGGAGAGUGGAACUCCAUGUGUAG